Molecule: ribosomal RNA, 507 nt
Filed under: uncultured bacterium
Lineage: Bacteria
Description: bacterial SSU rRNA
Rfam family: Bacterial small subunit ribosomal RNA
Source: RNAcentral
CGAACGCUGGCGGCGUGCUAACACAUGCAAGUCGAACGCGAAAGGGACUUCGGUCCUGAGUAAAGUGGCGCACGGGUGAGUAACGCGUAGAUAACCUGUCUUCAUGUCUGGAAUAAUACGCCGAAAGGGGUACUAAUACCGGAUAUUCUUGCUUUUCAUAAGUUAUGCAAGCAAAGGUGGCCUCUGCAUAUGCUACUGCAUGAAGAGGGGUCUGCGUACCAUUAGCUAGUAGGUGGGGUAAUGGCCUACCUAGGCGACGAUGGUUAGCGGGUCUGAGAGGAUGAUCCGCCACACUGGCACUGGAACACGGGCCAGACUCCUACGGGAGGCAGCAGUGAGGAAUAUUGCGCAAUGGGGGAAACCCUGACGCAGCGACGCCGCGUGAGUGAGGAAGGCCUUCGGGUCGUAAAGCUCUGUCAAGAGGAAAGAAGUGUACAAUGGCUAAUACCUGUUGUAUUUGACGGUACCUCUAAAGGAAGCACCGGCUAACUCCGUGCCAGCCGCCGC